This 484-nucleotide ribosomal RNA is filed under the name uncultured bacterium. RNAcentral describes it as "bacterial SSU rRNA". It matches the Rfam family "Bacterial small subunit ribosomal RNA", at positions 28 to 526 of the family's 1533-position model. The record is from RNAcentral.
AAUGAACGUUGGCGGCGUGGAUUAGGCAUGCAAGUCGAACGGGCUCGGUUUUCGGAUCGAGUCAGUGGCGCAAGGGUGAGUAAGGCGACGGUAACCAACCCCAUGGUCGGGUAUAGCCGCGGGAAACUGCGGGUAAUCCCCAGCGACGUCAGUGGCCGGCAUCGGCCGUUGACCAAAGCUUUGGCGCCGUGGGACGGGCCGUCGUGGUAUUAGGUAGUUGGCGGGGUAACGGCCCACCAAGCCUGUGAUGCCUACCGGGCGUGCGAGCGUGGGCCGGCACACUGGGACUGAGACACUGCCCAGACUCCUACGGGAGGCUGCAGUCGAGAAUCUUCGGCAAUGGGCGCAAGCCUGACCGAGCGACGCCGCGUGGAGGACGAAGGCCUUCGGGUUGUAAACUCCUGUCGAGGGGGAGGAAGGGGUAACCUUGACCGAUCCCUGGAGGAAGCACGGGCUAAGUUCGUGCCAGCCGCCGCAGUAAAAC